Molecule: ribosomal RNA, 253 nt
Filed under: uncultured bacterium
Lineage: Bacteria
Description: partial 16S ribosomal RNA
Rfam family: Bacterial small subunit ribosomal RNA
Source: RNAcentral
UACGGAGGGUGCAAGCGUUGCUCGGAAUUAUUGGGCGUAAAGGGUAGGUAGGUGGUCUCAUUUGUCUGGGGUGAAAGCCUCGAGCUUAACUCGAGAAGUGCCCCAGAAACGGUGAGACUAGAGUCUUGGAGAGGGUCGUGGAAUUCCCGGUGUAGCGGUGAAAUGCGUAGAGAUCGGAAGGAACAUCAGUGGCGAAGGCGACCACCUGGACUGAAACUGACGCUGAGGCGCGAAAGCGUGGGGAGCAAACAGG